AGGGUGCGUUUGGUUCGAGUUAUCCUGGCAGGAUUACAGGCAAUCCUGCCAGGAUAACUGUGUUUGGUUAAUCCGCUAUGUAAUCUAAUCGUUAAUGUAGCAUUACAAAUCGAGCAGGAUUACAUCGAAAAUAUUAACGGGAGGGGGGUCGUGUAUCUUGCAUUACUGAAACCCGUUAAUACUACAUAUUAUGUAAGAUGACAAUUUCACCCUCCAACAACCCCAAAUCUAAUUAACAGUAUUAUUUUCAUCUCUCUCUCUCGCCUUCCCCCCUCUCUCUCGCACGCCGCUUUCUCUCGCUUCUCGCUCUCUCUCUCUCUCUCUCUUUCUCUCUCUCUCGCACGAACACCUAUCAUCUUCUAUUGCGUCAUCCUCCCAGGUAAUCAUCACGAUCUCCUUCCCUCCAUUCAUCAUUUCCGCAAAAAAAUAAUAUUCAAAUGACCACAACAAGGGCAAUUUUGGAAAAAACUAUACUUUUAUGUCAGGAUUACUAAAUUUUAUAAACUGAACCAAACGUAUUAAUGCUAUAAACACUGUAAUCUAGUAUUACAUUACUGCAUUAAACAAACGCACUAAUGCAGGAUCAGUAGUAAUCUCACGCCGAAAUCUAAGAAACCUAGAUAUGUCGAGAUACUUUGUAAUAUUAUAUAACUUGAACCAAACGGGCCCUAAGAUAUU
This 678-nucleotide long non-coding RNA is filed under the name Ananas comosus (pineapple). RNAcentral's name for it is "long non-coding RNA (ACOM_LNC022526)". Lineage: Eukaryota; Viridiplantae; Streptophyta; Magnoliopsida; Poales; Bromeliaceae. The record is from RNAcentral.